UCCUCGGUAGCUCAGUUGGUAGAGCGGGUGGCUGUUAACCACCAUGUCACAGGUUCGAGUCCUGUCCGGGGAGCCA
This 76-nucleotide transfer RNA is filed under the name Candidatus Zymogenus saltonus. RNAcentral describes it as "tRNA-Asn". It matches the Rfam family "tRNA". Rfam says of the family: Transfer RNA (tRNA) molecules are approximately 80 nucleotides in length. Their secondary structure includes four short double-helical elements and three loops (D, anti-codon, and T loops). Further hydrogen bonds mediate the characteristic L-shaped molecular structure. tRNAs have two regions of fundamental functional importance: the anti-codon, which is responsible for specific mRNA codon recognition, and the 3' end, to which the tRNAs corresponding amino acid is attached (by aminoacyl-tRNA synthetases). tRNAs cope with the degeneracy of the genetic code in two manners: having more than one tRNA (with a specific anti-codon) for a particular amino acid; and 'wobble' base-pairing, i.e. permitting non-standard base-pairing at the 3rd anti-codon position. Lineage: Bacteria; Deltaproteobacteria; Candidatus Zymogeniales; Candidatus Zymogenaceae. The record is from RNAcentral.